This 706-nucleotide ribosomal RNA is filed under the name Koerneria sp. RGD227. RNAcentral describes it as "eukaryotic LSU rRNA". It matches the Rfam family "Eukaryotic large subunit ribosomal RNA", at positions 379 to 902 of the family's 3401-position model. The record is from RNAcentral. Lineage: Eukaryota; Metazoa; Nematoda; Chromadorea; Rhabditida; Neodiplogasteridae.
AAGAGAGAGUUCAAGAGGACGUGAAAUCACUGGGAGAGAAGCGGACAGAGUCGACGAAACCGGCAGUAUUCAGGGCCGUGCGGUCGCCUGGCUACGUGUGGCACUCCUGUUAGGGAGUGUGCAUGUGGCUGUGGUGGCCGUGCGACCUGCACUUGCUGUCGGUAUGUGCCGAGAGGCUAGGUGGCCCCUUCUGAACGGCGUUGCGUUGCCCAGCCUCGGCUGGUGUCUUGUAGCGCGGGGAGGUCGGUGGCUGCUUGGUUUCCGCAUAGAGCGCCUAGCGUUUGCGCACUGCUCAGGUCGUCUUGCGGCGUACGUAGGCGGUGGCGUGCCACUUGUUUGCGUGCGUUGUAGGUUGGCAGGGGUGGUGCCUAGGCGUCGUCUCGGUAUGAAAGUCGAUCACCUAUCCGACCCGUCUUGAAACACGGACCAAGAAGUCUAGCAUGUGCGCGAGUCAUUGGGUGCAAAAACCUAAAGGCGUAAUGAAAGUAAAGGCUGGCUCGACUGGCUGAUAUGGGAUCCGUGCUCAUUCGUGAGUGCGGCGCACCAUAGCCCCAUCCUGUGUGCUUGCACUGGGGUGGAGGUAGAGCGUACAUGCUGGGACCCGAAAGAUGGUGAACUAUGCCUGAGCAGGAUGAAGCCAGAGGAAACUAUGGUAGAAGUCUGAAUCGGUUAGUAGCUGGAUCCUUAGCAUAGUAGCCGGUUCCUU